RNAcentral lists this ribosomal RNA (253 nucleotides) under uncultured bacterium. RNAcentral describes it as "partial 16S ribosomal RNA". It matches the Rfam family "Bacterial small subunit ribosomal RNA", at positions 524 to 776 of the family's 1533-position model. The record is from RNAcentral.
UACGGAGGGGGCUAGCGUUGUUCGGAAUUACUGGGCGUAAAGCGUGCGCAGGCGGUUUCUUAAGUCAGAUGUGAAAUCCCCGGGCUUAACCUGGGAACUGCAUUUGUGACUGCAUGGCUGGAGUGCGGCAGAGGGGGAUGGAAUUCCGCGUGUAGCAGUGAAAUGCGUAGAUAUGCGGAGGAACACCGAUGGCGAAGGCAAUCCCCUGGGCCUGCACUGACGCUCAUGCACGAAAGCGUGGGGAGCAAACAGG